UGGCUACAUAGACAAUGUCAUAAACCAAAUGACGGUUUAUUCUUCAGAGAAGCAUCGUUGCAGUGGAAGAGUUUGGAUGAGAACAAGGCGCUACAAAUCAAUCAGGGAUUUGUUCUGUAGGCCUGUCAGGUCUAUAAAUAGCUAGACUCCUGCUUACCAAGUAGUGGAUGGAUGUACAUCUCCAGGCAUAUCCACAGCUCUUCAAAUAAGCAAUGUGAUGUUAGCAAAAGUGCAGGGGCUCCUUGAGAACUUUCCAGGGCUAACCAGCUGCUGAGGAGUGGCCUCCAGGAAAGAGAGAAGCACUCUGAUUCAGGCAGUGAUUUACACCUAAAAUACCAACUCCAUCAUAUCUUCAGAACAAUUCUUCUAGACCUUGCAUCUAAAUAUGGAGUCAUUAACUAACAACGAACAAAACCUCUGGAUGGCCGAAGGACCUAGGCUAUACAGAAAGCUGUGAAUUACCAAUGAGAACGCAGAUCUCUAAUGCCUGUCAUCUGCGCCAUGGGCUUUAGUUCAAGUGAGUCUUCCUCCUACCUUCCGUGGAGCAAUCAACUGGUAAGAGAAGAGUGCUUCAAGUAAGCAUGUGUACAACUCCAGUAAACACACUGCGCAUGCGGCCCCUCCCAAGCACUAGCACACAAGUGGUCAGCCCACCCCAAGGGAAGAAUCAGGGGAGAGGGGACCCAAGACCCUGUAUAUACCCAGUAAUGGGAUCGCUGAGUCAAAUGGUAUUUCCAGCUCUAAAUCUUUGAGG
Molecule: long non-coding RNA, 754 nt
Organism: Homo sapiens (human)
Lineage: Eukaryota; Metazoa; Chordata; Mammalia; Primates; Hominidae
Gene: DLEU1
Product: deleted in lymphocytic leukemia 1
Source: Ensembl